AGGUCCCUGGUCGAGCAUUGCUCUCGGGGCGCCGGCUUAUUUGGAUACUUAAGUGACCAGACUGGAGGUAAGAUCCCUGGUCGAGCAUUGCUCUCGGGGCGCCAGUCUUAUUGGAUUAAGAGAGCCGAAUGGCUACUAGAUUUCUUAUUUGGAUACUUAAGUGACCAGACUGGAGGUAAGGUCCCUGGUCGAGCAUUGCUCUCGGG
This 206-nucleotide long non-coding RNA is filed under the name Ricinus communis (castor bean). RNAcentral describes it as "long non-coding RNA (RCOM_LNC003563)". The record is from RNAcentral. Lineage: Eukaryota; Viridiplantae; Streptophyta; Magnoliopsida; Malpighiales; Euphorbiaceae.